GAAGAUUUAAAAGGAGAGUUUAGGAAUUAAUUUUCUUCCUGAAAUCCUAUUGACACUAAAGAAAUUGGCAGUGAAUGGUGGUCAAACUGCAAUUUCCAUUUAUUAUGGUGGCUGCUUGUUUGCAAUGGGACAUGGUGAACACUGGCUGGGAGCUUUGAUUAGAAACUUGAACUCAAUUCGGAUUAAAAAAAAAUCAUAAAAAUAGGCCUAAGAACAAAAUAGUUAAAAAAUUGAUAUGGGGACACAAGGUUGCUAGUUGCUAAGUAAAUGUCACAUCAAUCACAUGAACACCAAGAAGGCUACAGUUGACACUUGACAAUGUAUGCCAAGUUGGAAUUUUAAGUGCAAUAGGAGGGAUUUAUAGGAUAAAUAAUGGGGGAAAAAGUCCUUGAAGUCAUAUUGUAAUAUGUGUAAUCAUAGGGUCUGUUUUAGAACUUUUCUGAAAAAUUAAUUGGUCAACUUUAUAUAGAAAAAAAGUUGUGACUACUAUAAUUUUAAUAAUUCAUCUGUUAUGUUCCAUGUUCUAAC
Molecule: unclassified non-coding RNA, 528 nt
Filed under: Hevea brasiliensis (rubber tree)
Lineage: Eukaryota; Viridiplantae; Streptophyta; Magnoliopsida; Malpighiales; Euphorbiaceae
Source: RNAcentral